CAAGCGUUAUCCGGAAUUAUUGGGCGUAAAGCGUCCGCAGGCGGUUUUUCAAGUGUGAUAUUAAAGUCGGCAGCUCAACUGUCGUUUGGUGUCGCAAACUGUUAAACUAGAGGCUUAGAGAGGUGCGUGGAAUUCUGCAUGUAGGGGUAAAAUCCGUAGAUAUGCAGAGGAACACCAAAAGCGAAGGCAGCGCACUGGAUAUGUACUGACGCUCAUGGACGAAAGCGUGGGUAGCGAACAGGAUUAGAUACCCUGGUAGUCCACGCCGUAAACGAUGACAACUAGCCGUUGGGCAGAUUUAACUGUUCAGUGGCACAGCUAACGCAUUAAGUUCUCCGCCUGGGGAGUACGGCCGCAAGGCUAAAACUCAAAUGAAUUGACGGGGGCCCGCACAAGUGGUGGAGCAUGUGGUUUAAUUCGAUGCAACGCGAAAAACCUUACCUACCCUUGAAAUCCAGCGAAGUUUUCAGAGAUGAAAAUGUGCCUUCGGGAACGCUGUGACAGGUGUUGCAUGGCUGUCGUCAGCUCGUGUCGUGAGAUGUAUGGUUAAGUCCAGUAACGAGCGCAACCCCUAUCCUUAUUUGCCAGCGCGUUAAGGCGGGAACUAUAGGGAGACUGCCGGGUGAAACCCGGAGGAAGGCGGGGACGAGGUCAAGUCAUCAUGGCCCUUAUGGAUUGGGCUACACACGUGCUACAAUGGGAAGUACAGAGGGAUGCGAAAGCGCGAGCUGGAGCCAAACCCUUAAAACUUUUCUUAGUCCGGAUUGGAGUCUGCAACUCGACUCCAUGAAGUCGGAAUCACUAGUAAUCGCGAAUCAGAAUGUCGCGGUGAAUACGUUCUCGGGCCUUGUACACACCGCCCGUCACAUCAUGGAAGUGGGUUGCACCAGAAGUGGUUAGUCUAACCUUCGGGAAGACGAUCACCACGGUGUGAUUCAUGACUGGGAUGAAGUCGUAACAAGGUAGCCCUAGGGGAACCUGGGGCUG
This 987-nucleotide ribosomal RNA is filed under the name marine metagenome. RNAcentral's name for it is "bacterial SSU rRNA". It matches the Rfam family "Bacterial small subunit ribosomal RNA", at positions 535 to 1520 of the family's 1533-position model. The record is from RNAcentral.